This 465-nucleotide ribosomal RNA is filed under the name uncultured Klebsiella sp. RNAcentral describes it as "bacterial SSU rRNA". It matches the Rfam family "Bacterial small subunit ribosomal RNA", at positions 338 to 795 of the family's 1533-position model. Lineage: Bacteria; Pseudomonadati; Pseudomonadota; Gammaproteobacteria; Enterobacterales; Enterobacteriaceae. The record is from RNAcentral.
CCUACGGGGGGCUGCAGUGGGGAAUAUUGCACAAUGGGCGCAAGCCUGAUGCAGCCAUGCCGCGUGUGUGAAGAAGGCCUUCGGGUUGUAAAGCACUUUCAGCGGGGAGGAAGGCGGUGAGGUUAAUAACCUCAUCGAUUGACGUUACCCGCAGAAGAAGCACCGGCUAACUCCGUGCCAGCAGCCGCGGUAAUACGGAGGGUGCAAGCGUUAAUCGGAAUUACUGGGCGUAAAGCGCACGCAGGCGGUCUGUCAAGUCGGAUGUGAAAUCCCCGGGCUCAACCUGGGAACUGCAUUCGAAACUGGCAGGCUAGUGUCUUGUAGAGGGGGGUAGAAUUCCAGGUGUAGCGGUGAAAUGCGUAGAGAUCUGGAGGAAUACCGGUGGCGAAGGCGGCCCCCUGGACAAAGACUGACGCUCAGGUGCGAAAGCGUGGGGAGCAAACAGGAUUAGAUACCCCGGUAGUC